UCAUGGUAUCGGUCACUGUUGGUCUAUCAU
RNAcentral lists this non-coding RNA (30 nucleotides) under Rattus norvegicus (Norway rat). Lineage: Eukaryota; Metazoa; Chordata; Mammalia; Rodentia; Muridae. The record is from RNAcentral.